Molecule: non-coding RNA, 982 nt
Filed under: Latimeria menadoensis (Menado coelacanth)
Lineage: Eukaryota; Metazoa; Chordata; Coelacanthiformes; Coelacanthidae
Description: 12S ribosomal RNA
Rfam family: Bacterial small subunit ribosomal RNA
Source: RNAcentral
CAAAGGUUUGGUCCCAGCCUUGCUAUCAAUUUUAACCAGGAUUACACAUGCAAGCAUCAACUACCCAGUGAGAAUGCCCCUGACUUAUCCGUCAAAGAUAACAGGGAGCAGGUAUCAGGCACACAACAUAACGCUAGCCCAAGACACCUUGUCCAGCCACACCCCCAAGGGAACUCAGCAGUGAUAGACAUUGAAUAAUAAGUGAAAACUUGACUCAACCAUGGUUACAAGGGCCGGUCAACUCCGUGCCAGCCACCGCGGUUACACGGAAGACCCAAAAUGAUAACACUACCGGCGUAAAGCGUGAUUAAAGGACACCCGUCAUAAUGGAGCCACAAAUAACUAAAGCUGUCAUACGCACUUAGAAAAAUAGGCUCAUCUCACGAAAGUAGCUCCAGCACCUAAAGGAACCCUGAACCCACGAAAGCUAAGAAACAAACUGGGAUUAGAUACCCCACUAUGCUCAGCCCUAAACAUAAACAAUUGUAACACACACUGUUCGCCAGGGAACUACAAGCGCCAGCUUCAAACCCAAAGGACUUGGCGGCACUUCAAACCCACCUAGAGGAGCCUGUUCUAGAACUGAUAACCCCCACCUAACCUCACCAUCCCUAGCCAUUAAACCAGCCUAUAUACCGCCGUCGCCAGCCCACCCUGUGAAGGAAAUAUAAUGGGCAAAAAUAAAAAAAUUAAAAACGUCAGGUCGAGGUGUAGCAAAUGGGAUGGGAAGAAAUGGGCUACAUUUUCUAAAUAUAGAAUAUUACGAAAAAAUACAGCGAAACCCGUACUUCGAAGGAGGAUUUAGCAGUAAAAGGGGAAUAGAGAGCCCCUCUGAAACCGGCCCUGAAAUGUGCACACACCGCCCGUCACUCUCCUCACCCAAAAUCGGCCCCAUCUUUUUAUAAACAAAUAAACCAAGCAUACAAGUAGAGGAGGCAAGUCGUAACAAGGUAAGUGUACCGGAAGGUGCACUUGGAUUAAU